RNAcentral lists this ribosomal RNA (465 nucleotides) under uncultured bacterium. RNAcentral's name for it is "partial 16S ribosomal RNA". It matches the Rfam family "Bacterial small subunit ribosomal RNA", at positions 28 to 507 of the family's 1533-position model. The record is from RNAcentral.
GACGAACGCUGGCGGCGUGCUUAACACAUGCAAGUCGUACGGUAAGGCCCUUUCGGGGGUACACGAGUGGCGAACGGGCGAGUAACACGUGAGUAACCUGCCCACAACUUUGGGAUAACGCUAGGAAACUGGUGCUAAUACUGGAUAUGUGCUCCUGCUGCAUGGAGGGGGUUGGAAAGCUCCGGCGGUUGUGGAUGGACUCGCGGCCUAUCAGCUUGUUGGUGGGGUAGUGGCCUACCAAGGCGGCGACGGGUAGCCGGCCUGAGAGGGUGACCGGCCACAUUGGGACUGAGAUACGGCCCAGACUCCUACGGGAGGCAGCAGUGGGGAAUAUUGCACAAUGGGCGCAAGCCUGAUGCAGCAACGCCGCGUGCGGGAUGACGGCCUUCGGGUUGUAAACCGCUUUCAGCAGGGACGAAGCUUUUUGUGACGGUACCUGCAGAAGAAGCACCGGCUAACUACGUG